CUCCUACGGGAGGCAGCAGUGGGGAAUCUUGCGCAAUGGGCGAAAGCCUGACGCAGCGACGCCGCGUGAGGGAUGAAGGCUCUCGGGUUGUAAACCUCUUUCAGCGGGGACGAAGCGAAAGUGACGGUACCCGCAGAAGAAGCCCCGGCCAACUACGUGCCAGCAGCCGCGGUAAUACGUAGGGGGCGAGCGUUGUCCGGAUUUAUUGGGCGUAAAGGGCUCGUAGGUGGCUUGGCAAGUCGGACGUAAAAGUCCAGGGCUCAACCCUGGGACUGCGUUCGAUACUGUCAGGCUAGAGGCCGGUAGGGGGAUCUGGAAUUCCUGGUGUAGCGGUGAAAUGCGCAGAUAUCAGGAGGAACACCGGUGGCGAAGGCGGGAUCCUGGGCCGGACCUGACACUGAUGAGCGAAAGCUGGGGGAGCGAACAGGAUUAGAUACCCUGGUAGUCCCAGCCGUAAACGAUGGGUGCUAGGUGUGGGAGGCUAUCGACGUCUUCCGUGCCGCAGCUAACGCAUUAAGCACCCCGCCUGGGGAGUACGGCCGCAAGGCUAAAACUCAAAGGAAUUGACGGGGGCCCGCACAAGCGGCGGAGCAUGUGGCUUAAUUCGAUGCAACGCGAAGAACCUUACCAGGGCUUGACAU
RNAcentral lists this ribosomal RNA (641 nucleotides) under uncultured bacterium. RNAcentral's name for it is "bacterial SSU rRNA". It matches the Rfam family "Bacterial small subunit ribosomal RNA", at positions 336 to 987 of the family's 1533-position model. The record is from RNAcentral.